RNAcentral lists this ribosomal RNA (486 nucleotides) under uncultured bacterium. Its description in RNAcentral is "partial 16S ribosomal RNA". It matches the Rfam family "Bacterial small subunit ribosomal RNA", at positions 28 to 507 of the family's 1533-position model. The record is from RNAcentral.
GAUGAACGCUGGCGGCGUGCCUAAUACAUGCAAGUCGAACGCUGGAGAUCUAGCUUGCUAGCUCGAAGGAGUGGCGAACGGGUGAGUAAUACAUAAGCAACCUACCCACGAAGACUGGGAUAAUCUCUGGAAACGGGGACUAAUACCGGAUAGGUAAUCGGAAGGCAUCUUCUGGUUAUUAAAGGUUAAAAACACUGGUGGAUGGGCUUAUAGCGCAUUAGUUAGUUGGUGAGGUAACGGCCCACCAAGACGAUGAUGCGUAGCCGGCCUGAGAGGGUGAACGGCCACAUUGGGACUGAGACACGGCCCAGACUCCUACGGGAGGCAGCAGUAGGGAAUUUUCGGCAAUGGGGGCAACCCUGACCGAGCAACGCCGCGUGAGUGAAGACGGCCUUCGGGUUGUAAAGCUCUGUUGUAAGGGAAGAACGGUAGAUAGAGAAUAUCUAAGUGACGGUACCUUACCAGAAAGCCACGGCUAACUACGUG